Molecule: ribosomal RNA, 443 nt
Filed under: Peptostreptococcus stomatis
Lineage: Bacteria; Bacillati; Bacillota; Clostridia; Peptostreptococcales; Peptostreptococcaceae
Description: bacterial SSU rRNA
Rfam family: Bacterial small subunit ribosomal RNA
Source: RNAcentral
GAUGAACGCUGGCGGCGUGCCUAACACAUGCAAGUCGAGCGAGGGUUUGCUCAGUAUUGAGUAUUUUAAGACUAGAAUGUUCAAUUCUGAGCAAAACCAAGCGGCGGACGGGUGAGUAACGCGUGGGUAACCUGCCCUAUACACAUGGAUAACAUACUGAAAAGUUUACUAAUACAUGAUAAUAUAUAUUUGCGGCAUCGCAGAUAUAUCAAAGUGUUAGCGGUAUAGGAUGGACCCGCGUCUGAUUAGCUAGUUGGUGAGAUAACUGCCCACCAAGGCGACGAUCAGUAGCCGACCUGAGAGGGUGAUCGGCCACAUUGGAACUGAGACACGGUCCAAACUCCUACGGGAGGCAGCAGUGGGGAAUAUUGCACAAUGGGCGAAAGCCUGAUGCAGCAACGCCGCGUGAACGAUGAAGGUCUUCGGAUCGUAAAGUUCUGUUG